UAGGGAAUCUUCCGCAAUGGACGAAAGUCUGACGGAGCAACGCCGCGGGAGUGAAGAAGGAUUUCGGUUCGUAAAACUCUGUUGGUAGGGAAGAAAAAAUGUAUAGUAACUAUAUACAAAAGAGACGGUACCGAAAAAGCAAGCCACGGCUAACUACGUGCCAGCAGCCGCGGUAAUACGGAGGUGGCAAGCGUUGUCCGGAAUUAUUGGGCGUAAAGCGCGCGCAGGCGGUCACUUAAGUCCAUCUUAGAAGUGCGGGGCUUAACCCCGUGAUGGGAUGGAAACUGGGAGACUGGAGUAUCGGAGAAGAAAGUGGAAUUCCUAGUGUAGCGGUGAAAUGCGUAGAUAUUAGGAAGAACACCGGUGGCGAAGGCGACUUUCUGGACGAAAACUGACGCUGAGGCGCGAAAGCGUGGGGAGCAAACAGG
Molecule: ribosomal RNA, 428 nt
Filed under: Verrucomicrobiota bacterium
Lineage: Bacteria; Pseudomonadati; Verrucomicrobiota
Description: Verrucomicrobia bacterium partial 16S ribosomal RNA
Rfam family: Bacterial small subunit ribosomal RNA
Source: RNAcentral